Molecule: ribosomal RNA, 492 nt
Filed under: uncultured bacterium
Lineage: Bacteria
Description: partial 16S ribosomal RNA
Rfam family: Bacterial small subunit ribosomal RNA
Source: RNAcentral
AGUGAACGCUGGCGGUAGGCCUAACACAUGCAAGUCGAACGGCAGCACAGUAAGAGCUUGCCCUUACGGGUGGCGAGUGGCGGACGGGUGAGGAAUACAUCGGAAUCUACUUUUUCGUGGGGGAUAACGUAGGGAAACUUACGCUAAUACCGCAUACGGCCUACGGGUGAAAGCAGGGGAUCUUCGGACCUUGCGCGAUUGAAUGAGCCGAUGUCGGAUUAGCUAGUUGGCGGGGUAAAGGCCCACCAAGGCGACGAUCCGUAGCUGGUCUGAGAGGAUGAUCAGCCACACUGGAACUGAGACACGGUCCAGACUCCUACGGGAGGCAGCAGUGGGGAAUAUUGGACAAUGGGCGCAAGCCUGAUCCAGCCAUACCGCGUGGGUGAAGAAGGCCUUCGGAUUGUAAAGCCCUUUUGUUGGGAAAGAAAAGCAGCAGGUUAAUACCCCGCUGUUCUGACGGUACCCAAAGAAUAAGCACCGGCUAACUUCGUG